Molecule: ribosomal RNA, 1341 nt
Filed under: uncultured bacterium
Lineage: Bacteria
Description: 16S ribosomal RNA
Rfam family: Bacterial small subunit ribosomal RNA
Source: RNAcentral
GACGAACGCUGGCGGCGUGCUUAACACAUGCAAGUCGAACGGUAAGGCUCCAGCUUGCUGGGGUACACGAGUGGCGAACGGGUGAGUAACACGUGGGUGACCUGCCCUGCACUUCGGGAUAAGCCUGGGAAACUGGGUCUAAUACCGGAUAGGACCGCACCGUGAGGGUGUGGUGGAAAGUUUUUUCGGUGUGGGAUGGGCCCGCGGCCUAUCAGCUUGUUGGUGGGGUAAUGGCCUACCAAGGCGGCGACGGGUAGCCGGCCUGAGAGGGUGGACGGCCACAUUGGGACUGAGACACGGCCCAGACUCCUACGGGAGGCAGCAGUGGGGAAUAUUGCACAAUGGGCGGAAGCCUGAUGCAGCGACGCCGCGUGGGGGAUGACGGCCUUCGGGUUGUAAACUCCUUUCACCAUCGACGAAGGGUUUCUGACGGUAGAUGGAGAAGAAGCACCGGCUAACUACGUGCCAGCAGCCGCGGUAAUACGUAGGGUGCGAGCGUUGUCCGGAAUUACUGGGCGUAAAGAGCUCGUAGGUGGUUUGUCGCGUCGUCUGUGAGAUUCCGGGGCUUAACUCCGGGCGUGCAGGCGAUACGGGCAUAACUUGAGUACUGUAGGGGAGACUGGAAUUCCUGGUGUAGCGGUGAAAUGCGCAGAUAUCAGGGGGAACACCGGUGGCGAAGGCGGGUCUCUGGGCAGUAACUGACGCUGAGGAGCGAAAGCAUGGGGAGCGAACAGGAUUAGAUACCCUGGUAGUCCAUGCCGUAAACGGUGGGCGCUAGGUGUGGGUUUCCUUCCACGGGAUCCGUGCCGUAGCUAACGCAUUAAGCGCCCCGCCUGGGGAGUACGGCCGCAAGGCUAAAACUCAAAGGAAUUGACGGGGGCCCGCACAAGCGGCGGAGCAUGUGGAUUAAUUCGAUGCAACGCGAAGAACCUUACCUGGGCUUGACAUAUACAGGAUCGCGCCAGAGACGGUGUUUCCCUUGUGGCUUGUAUACAGGUGGUGCAUGGUUGUCGUCAGCUCGUGUCGUGAGAUGUUGGGUUAAGUCCCGCAACGAGCGCAACCCUUGUCUUAUGUUGCCAGCACGUUGUGGUGGGGACUCGUAAGAAACUGCCGGGGUUAACUCGGAGGAAGGUGGGGAUGACGUCAAAUCAUCAUGCCCCUUAUGUCCAGGGCUUCACACAUGCUACAAUGGUCGGUACAGUGGGUUGCCAGUCCGUGAGGGCGAGCUAAUCCCGCAAAGCCGGUCUCAGUUCGGAUCGGGGUCUGCAACUCGACCCCGUGAAGUCGGAGUCGCUAGUAAUCGCAGAUCAGCAACGCUGCGGUGAAUACGUUCCCGGGCCU